Molecule: long non-coding RNA, 1971 nt
Organism: Harpegnathos saltator (Jerdon's jumping ant)
Lineage: Eukaryota; Metazoa; Arthropoda; Insecta; Hymenoptera; Formicidae
Exons: 3
Source: RefSeq, a predicted model, not a curated record
GGUGCUUUCCGAUCUGGAAACGAGAAGAAAAGUGUAGACAAGCGCGGAAAGUGGCAGCUGAAGAGAACGGGGCUAUUAUAAUCUGCGAUAACAAUCUGUCGCCUGUCUCAGCUUUCAGCAUAGUGUGACAACUUCACCGGUGUUAAUGAUAACGUUCGUUCCACGCGCGCGACUUUUAGUUCUUCCAACAAAACAACUAAACAUCUUUAUGAUUUCGUACAAUCUCCUCCCUGUUGCCUCUUUUGCGGCGCAAUCUGUUUCGAAGAAGGAAAUAAUAAUAAUGUUCCUCUCUCUCUCUCUCUCUCUCUCUCUCUCUCUCUCUCUCUCUCAUAUAGACACAGAGACACACAGGUCGUGGCUCGCCCAAUACUGAAACAAAGUAUUCGGUGCUCGGGUUUUUUAACGGCCCGAUCUUUCCGUUAGCGCCAGCUGAAAUUGCAUCGCGAACGAGGAGGAAGCACGCCUUUUAAUCGCGAUCGCAAGCAAGCGGCGCUGCACGCUGAUGUUCCAUUAGGAAAUAGAAGCCGGAGGUUCGUCGGUCUCUCGUGGUAUUCCGGAAGAAAGAAUAAUGCCUCGACCUCGAUCUUCUACGCGUCUCGAAGGUGUUGCUUCAAGUUCUUUGACGCAAAGGCGAGGCUUUGGCGCGAGACUAUAAAGGGUGUAUCAGAAAUCGCACGUUCUCCGCCGAGUUUUCAAAGAGUUCGGGGCUUGAUCUAUUUAUGAGAGAUGACACGCGAUCGCGUACAUUUGAAAAUUACGCUCAAUCCUGUCGAUUUCCGUGCUACCUAUUCUCGUGGCAAAGUAAACAUUUCGCCUUUUUUGUUGCACGACGUUCUCUCGUCUGUCAAGUUGUUGCCCAAAUUUCGUUCGUCAUCUUCGGCUCGCUUGUAUUGUCUGUCGCUUGUGUUGUGGUCGUUUAAACAUUCGCCCCUCCUCCCGAGUAAAUUGCUGUUGAAAGGGGAAUCAGCGAAGCAAUUCGCAAAUGGGAGAGAGAGAGAGAGAGAGAGAGAGAGAGGAGAGAGAGAGAGAGAGAGAGAGAGAGAGAGCACGGGGACUUCCGAUGCACCGUGUAUAUCGACAAGAAAUACCUGGCCAGCGACUAUGUGUUAUACUCUACCGAAUUAGGUUGUACAUACAUCUACCGUUUUCUCUUAAGAGACAUCUCCGACCUAACCGUACCGUCGCUGCGCGCCAAUAUAUGUAUAUACAUAGUCCGCCUCAUCGUCAGGUAUGGCGCGCGUUAGAAGUAAUUCGAUCGACAUGUCCCAUUUAUGUCUACUCGCGAGCAAAAUGUAAUAAAAGCCGCAGCGGUAAUAGCGAGUGCCACCUGUUUCACCCCGUUGAAACGGGAAGGUGUGCGCGACGAUUGAUACAACAUUCCUUCUAUGUACAAUUGGGAUCCUUCUUUCCUGCGAGAAGGAGCGCGGAGGUCAUGACGACGGCGGUGGCUUUAGGGGUGGGAGUGACAUGAAACGACGACAACAACAUACAAGCGCGAUUAUUUCAAAGCCUUUGGCCAACUUAAUCCAAGCAUUUGCUCACAAUUUCAACUCUAUAAUCAAUAUAGUUGAUUACAUUAACGAAGUUAAAUGUUAAUUAACUCCGCAGUGGGAACGAAAUUUCUCUCCUAGGCGAGCGGGAAUGUACGGGGCGUGGUGCACCGCCGGUGCGGUGAAGAGAGAGAGAGAGAGAGAGAGAGAGAGAGAGAGAGAGCACGCAGACGAAUCUUGUUUUCGACUUUAAUUUUCGCUUCUGAUUACUCUCCUUGUUCCUCGUAUUUUAAUUUUUAUUUCGCGAGCAUAUCUAGUUAAACUCGCGCGCACGCGCGCGCACGCGCGCGCACGCUCUCCGACUCGACAGAGAAAGACGAAUGUUUAACGUCCGAGAAGUAACACACUUUAUUAUUACAUACCUUCGUAACCUUUUCGAGCGCAAAACAAAGAAGUGCUCUCUCUCUCUCUCUCUCUCUCU